GAUGAACGCUGGCGGCGUGCCUAAUACAUGCAAGUCGAGCGAACAGACGAGGAUCUUGCUCCGCUGACGUUAGCGGCGGACGGGUGAGUAACACGUGGCUAACCUACCUAUAAGACUGAGAUAACUUCGGGAAACCGUAGCUAAUACCGGAUAAUAUAUUGAACCGCAUGGUUCAAUAGUGAAAUACGGUUUUGCUGUCACUUAUAGAUGGAUCCGCUCCGCAUUAGCUAGUUGGUAAGGUAACGGCUUACCAAGUCGACGAUGCGUAGCCGACCUGAGAGGGUGAUCGGCCACACUGGAACUGAGACACGGUCCAGACUCCUACGGGAGGCAGCAGUAGGGAAUCUUCCGCAAUGGGCGAAAGCCUGACGGAGCAACGCCGCGUGAGUGAUGAAGGUCUUCGGAUCGUAAAACUCUGUUAUUAGGGAAGAACAAAUGUGUAAGUAAAUAUGCACGUCUUGACGGUACCUAAACAGAAAGCCACGGCUAACUACGUG
RNAcentral lists this ribosomal RNA (497 nucleotides) under uncultured bacterium. RNAcentral describes it as "partial 16S ribosomal RNA". It matches the Rfam family "Bacterial small subunit ribosomal RNA", at positions 28 to 507 of the family's 1533-position model. The record is from RNAcentral.